UUCUUCUGUCAAUUAAGUUUAUUCGGAUCACCUGCACCAAUUAAUCUGUCUUUGUGUUUCACCUGGUCACGCUCCAUAAAUACACACCUGUUCAGUUAUUCAUCGCGGAAUCAUUUUCAGAUCAUGCUCAUGUCUUGUUUGGAUCAUGCCAUGCCUGUCUUGCCUGCCCGUUUGUUGUUUUGUUCCUGCCUCAUCUAUUCUUAUAGGGGCAUGGUUGUGUGCAGCGAGGCAUGGCACCACCAGCUGCAGUAAUGGCAGCAAUAUCUGAUAUGAGUUUGCCUAUUGAAAUAAUUGAUUAAACGAAAAUUCAACAUGGAAGGCUCACCACCCCACCACGUCCAGUCACUCCUCACUGGCUACUCCAAUCAACGGCAGGUCCGCACUCCUCCUCAGCCAAUCAUCUCCCAGGGCAUCACUUUUAAAGACCUUCUGCAUGGAAGACACCGCUCUCCUGCUGAGCUUCGACCCUCCUCCACCCCUUCUCCACCAUAGGCUCCCAAAUCCUUCCAUACCAAGGCCCAUGCCACCACCAGGAUGGGAUCCCAGCGGGGGAAGACGUACCUAAUCAUAAUCCUAAGAUGUUU
Girardinichthys multiradiatus is the source of this 584-nucleotide long non-coding RNA. RefSeq lists it as uncharacterized. The transcript has 3 exons. The record is from RefSeq and is a predicted model, not a curated record. NCBI's taxonomy places the organism in Eukaryota, Metazoa, Chordata, Actinopteri, Cyprinodontiformes, Goodeidae.